RNA transcript from Anthonomus grandis grandis, 7164 nucleotides. It is a transcript of the gene named serine/threonine-protein kinase Genghis Khan, with no coding region annotated. NCBI's taxonomy places the organism in Eukaryota, Metazoa, Arthropoda, Insecta, Coleoptera, Curculionidae. The record is from RefSeq and is a predicted model, not a curated record. The transcript is spliced from 33 exons.
AAACAAAUUUUUCUGCAUCAUUUUGCUGGGGUAUCAUAGCAGAUAAUUCGGUUUUUGUAAACAUUGACUUUUUAAAAGUUUAUCAGAUUUAAAUAAGCGUUAGGGGUUUACACCUUUAUUAUAAACAAAAAGUGCAGUUUUUUAUUAAUGGCAUUUUUGGCGAGGUUCCAGACGGUCAACACACUCGGUGGGGGAGUAUGACAAAAAUGGCCGCCGAAAGUUUUCAAUGAAAUGUAUUUUAAAUGACAUGUCGUGAUAAGAAUGAGCUUUUAAUGGAUCUUGUAAAGAUUCAACAAUGCUAAUGUUCUCAUGUCACUCUGAUAAUCAAAAACUAAAAACCUAGAUUUAGUAAGUGUUCCUCAAAGCAUAGCCAUGGGCGAUCACGGUGUCAAUGAUGACGGCGGAGGAACGGCCGAACGCCGCCUUCGUCAAUUGGAAUCCCUUUAUCUGAGCGGGCCUGUAGCUGCUCGAGGGCAGGCAUUUAGUGUUGAAAGUCUCAUUGACCUGAUGCUCGUACUUUAUGAUGAAUGCUGCAAUUCAAGUUUGAGAAAGGAAAAGACCGUAUCGGAUUUUUUGGAAUAUGUGAAACCAGUAGCAAACAUAGCAAAAACUCUACGUCUUACUCGAGAUGAUUUUGAAAUUGUCAAAGUAAUUGGUAGGGGGGCCUUUGGUGAAGUCUGCGUAGUAAAACUACGCGGUUCAGACAAAGUAUUUGCCAUGAAAAUUCUUAACAAAUGGGAAAUGCUAAAACGCGCAGAGACUGCUUGUUUCAAGGAGGAACGGGACGUCUUAGUUUAUGGAGACACUAGGUGGAUCACGCAUUUGCAUUAUGCUUUUCAAGACGAAUCAAAUCUUUACUUGGUUAUGGAUUAUUAUUGCGGAGGGGAUUUGCUGACGUUACUUAGCAAGUUCGAGGAUCGACUCCCUGAGGAUAUGGCUAGGUUUUAUAUUGCUGAAAUGGUAUUGGCCAUUGAUUCGAUUCAUAAGCUUAAAUAUGUACAUAGGGAUAUUAAACCCGACAAUGUUCUUCUCGACGCGAACGGACAUAUAAGGUUAGCGGACUUUGGAAGUUGCUUGAAACUAAAUGAAGAUGGCAUGGUGCAAUCAAACGUAGCUGUAGGAACCCCCGAUUAUAUUUCUCCUGAAAUUUUAAGGGCUAUGGAAGAUGGACAGGGUAGAUAUGGUCCUGAAUGUGAUUGGUGGUCGUUAGGAGUGUGUAUGUAUGAAAUGCUAUUCGGCGAAACGCCGUUUUACGCAGAAAGUCUAGUCGAAACUUAUGGGAAAAUAAUGAACCAUAAGAACUGUUUUGAUUUUGCAAUAGAAGUAGAUGUUUCUGACGAAGCGAAGGAUCUUAUUAAAAGGUUAAUUUGCAGUCAGGAGUUUAGGUUAGGACAAAAUGGAAUAGAGGACUUUAAGGGUCAUCCAUGGUUUCAAGGCGUGGACUGGGAUGGAAUCCGCGAUAGCAACGCUCCCUAUAUUCCAGAAGUAUCCAGCCCAACGGACACUUCAAAUUUUGAUGUGGAUGACGCCGAUAUACGGCUGUCUGAUGCCUUACCACCCACAGCGAAUAAUGCUUUUACUGGUUUACAUUUGCCGUUUAUUGGGUUUACUUUUACUCAAGGAAGUUACAUUUGUGACUUAAGCAAUCUUCACUCGUUUAUUUCGAAAACUACGACGAACAACACGGAGAAACAAAAUCAAAGGAACGAUAUUAUGUCUCUGGUUCAAACCCCAAACCAGCAAAAUCAGAAGCCGGAAAAAGAAGGUGAAAAACAACGGACGUCUCCAGAUGGAACCAGAAAGUUGCAAGAUGAAAUUAACAUGCUGACUAAGAGAAAUUGUGAGCUGGAAUCGCAAUUACGAAGCUUAGAAAGCGGUGACACAUUAGACGGCAAUGAAAAUCUAAGGAUACGUGAGCUAGAGAAGCUCAUUAAGACUUUAAAGCAGGAAAAGGAAGAAGUGAAUAAAGAUAAACAAGAUCUCCAAGAAAAAUUAAAGUUUCAGGACAAGGAACUAAAAGAUGCCAUUGCCCAAAAAAAGCUCGCGAUGACAGAAUAUGCGGAAGUCACUGAUAAGCUUGCUGAACUUAGAGCUCAGAAACAAAAAAUAUCUAGACAGGUAAGAGACAAAGAAGAGGAACUGGAAACUGUGAUGCAAAAAGUCGACUCUCUCAGAAACGAUAUACGAAGGGCGGAAAAAUUAAGGCGAGAACUGGAAUCUAGGGUUGACGAAGCUCAAGCUGAAGCGACUAAAGAAAGGAAAUUAAGGGAAAGAUCGGAAGAAUACUGUAGACAAAUGCAGGCUGAAUCCGAUCGGUUAAGAGUAAGAUCGGAACAUAGCCCGAGGGAUCAGCAGGACUCCUUAAGGCUAAAAGCAGAGCUGGAAAAAUUAGAAGUGCAAUAUAACGAAAGUUUAACUCAGCAACAAACGAGGUAUAAUCUAGAACUUUCUUCUCUAAGGGAGCAACUGCAAGAAGCAGAAACUCAUAGGGAUCUGUUGGAAAGAGAGCUCCAAUCCUUAAAAGAAAAGUGGGAGAAAUAUAGGCUGGAGGCCAUCGCUGAUACUGAGCAAACGUUGGCUGACGUGAACCGUAGACACGAGCGAGAAAAGCAAAUGCUCACAGAAGAAAAUAAAAAAUUAUGCUCAAAUGUUCAUUUUCUAACAGAAUCGGUGAAUCGUCUACAAUCUGAGCGGGCCAAUCUGGAAUCGGAAUAUGAAGCUUUAAGGACGAAACAGGACGCUUUGGGACAGUGGGAAUCGCAACUUUCUGAGAUCAUUCAAUGGGUGAGCGAUGAAAAAGAUGCCAGGGCCUACUUGCAAGCUUUAGCCACCAAAAUGACUGAGGAGCUGGAAUAUCUAAAACAUGCUGGAGUUUCUAACACGGUUGGUGGCCCAGACAAGAACUGGAGAAACAGACGUUCCCAAAAGUUGGACAAAAUGGAACUGCUUAACCUGCAAAGUUCUUUGCAAAGCGAAAUUCAAGCGAAGCAAGCGAUAAGCGAAGAUCUUAGUAAAACCAGAGAAGCUUUGCUAGCUGCUCAAAAAGAUCUUCGCGAAUACAGACAACGAAACGAAGCCUUACAACUGGACCUGAAACGAAAAGAGAAACAAAUCAAGGACUUCCAAAAUAGGCUAGAUUCGGAAGGAUUUCUGGAACGUCCGUCAUCACAGAUGUCAUACUUGGAACAGUUCCUGAAAGAAACCAACUCUUCAUCGGGACAAAAUAUGUAUGACAAUGUGCCACCGCAGGCUCAUAUGUACCACGGGGGCUCAUUAGAGUCUGAAGAUGCUGAUGUUGAAGACAAUAGGGCGCCAAGCAUAGUUAGCUCGAAAAGUAAUCUUAGUGAAAUUAGUAUGCACGAAACCCACUCGCCAAUGAAACACAAGGCUCACCAGUUUUUGGUGCGCACUUUUUCUAGUCCCACCAAAUGCAGUCAUUGUACGUCAUUGAUGGUCGGGCUGAUGCGGCAGGGGAUGGUGUGUGAAAUCUGUGGAUUCACGUGUCACACCGCAUGCUGUCCUCAUGUGCCGCCUGUAUGUCCCGUGCCACCGGAUCAAACAAAAAGGCCUUUAGGAAUAGAUCCAACGAGAGGAAUAGGUACGGCCUAUGAGGGUUAUGUUAAAGUUCCGAAAUUAGGAGGUGUAAAAAGAGGUUGGAUCCGACAAUUUGUCGUCGUUUGUGAUUUUAAACUUUUUCUCUACGACAUAUCCGCAGACAGAAAUGCCUUACCCAGUGUUCAUGUAGCUCAGGUCUUAGACAUGAGAGAUCCCCAGUUUAGCGUUAGUAGUGUCAAGGACUUGGACGUUAUUCACGCCAAUAAGAAGGAUAUACCUUGUAUAUUUAAGAUUACAACUUCUUUAAUGGAGCCGCCUGGGCCGAGAAACGCGAUGUUAAUGUUGGCGGACUCAGAAGCGGAAAAAAAUAAAUGGGUGGUCGCUUUAGCGGAAUUGCACCGGAUAAUGAAGAGGAAUAAUCUGCCUAACACCACAGUGCUUAUAACUAGGGAGUUGAUCGAUAACUCUUUGGCUAUGUUAAAGAAUACUCUCAGCGCUGCCAUUAUCGAUCCUGAUAGGAUUGUUUUAGGUACUGAAGAGGGUCUAUAUUGUAUAGAUCUGGAUAGAACGGAAAUAGCAAAAAUUGGAGAAGCAAAGAAAAUUUUUCAAAUUGAGUAUAUCAGUGAAGAACACCUGUUGGUGGUGGUAAGCGGUAAACAGCGCCAAGUAAGACUAGUACCCAUAAGAGCCCUGGACGGCGACGAUACCGAAUGGAUAAAAGUGACAGAAAGUAAAGGAUGCUCAGUUUUAACUGUUGGUCCUGUUCUAAGGGCCCCUUUGACCUUUUGCUUGUGCAUAGCUAUUAAAAAACAGAAUUCAUCAGUGAUAAUAAUUUACGAAAUAACGAGAACAAAGACGAGACACAGUAAAGUUAGCGAGUUCGCUAUACCAGUGAACGUACAGGCUUUGCAAAUACUUUCAGACGGAAGAUUAUGUGUUGGCUCUCCAUCUUGUUUUACGGUUUAUAGUAUACAAAACGGAGAUUCUUUUAUUUCAUUACUUCAUCCAGAAAAUCCUUUGUACGCUACGAUCAACUGCAGCUCGGUAGAGGCGCUUAGAGUGAUCGAGUUACCGAGGCGAGAGUACCUGUUGGUGUUUGGUACUUUGGCUGCUUACGUAGAUAAGCACGGCCGAAAGUCCAGAGACAGGGAAAUCAUGUACCCGGCUGUGCCAACUGCCAUUAGUUAUAGGGAUGGUAAUCUAGUAGUUUAUAGCGAGACACAUAUAGAUGUGUUCAACUGCGCCACAGGUGAAUGGGUUCAAACGCUUAAUAUCAAAAGGGCGAAGCCCCUCAACGAUAGCGGUAGUCUGACUAUGUGCAUCCUUAACGAUUUGACCCAUCUUUUGUAUCUCUCUAAUGUUCAUCAAAGAGAACUUCUCAAUUUAGAAAACAUAGUUACCUUAGAUACUGAGGGUAGAGUUGUACAUAAGCCUAGAAGACGAUUCUCUCUAAGAGAAGGCCAUAGGUCAACAAGAAUGAACACUGAUAGGCGAUCAAAAUUAAUCUCCGCGCCAACGAAUUUUAAUCACAUCAGCCAUGUAGGGCCCGGCGAUAGCAUCCAGCAACAAAGACUGAUCGAUUUAACCACUAGCCUUGUCGACCAACUUCCCGACCAAAUAUCGUACGGACCACCAACGCCCCAACCAAGACCAACGAAACAAGCUCCAUUACCCCCGGUACCAGCGAAGCCUCGCCCUUGGGAAAUAUCAAAUCCGUUACCUCAUCGCCCCGCGCCCCAAGUUUAUAACGGGGCGAAAAGGGCGGCGCCGCCUCGACCCAGAGACUUACCGCCCGCCCUUCCACGUCCUUCUGACACUUCUCCCUCCCCUGAUCCGGCUAGUAUUGGCAGUAUGUCGUCGCUCCAUGACAUGAUUAAGGUUGGAAAACAUAAAACCACGUUAUGACAAAUAAGAAAAGUGGGAAAAUUGGUGUUUUUUGAUUGCCUUCGUCCCAAUUAAGAGCAGGCGACAGAAGUAAAAAGUAGCCCCCGACACUCGAUAGCCAGCAAUAAUAGCUCCAAUCUGUCGACACCCCCGUCUCCCCAGGCCGAUCAUCAUCACAGUUCCAGUUAUGACAGUUAGAAAUAUCCAACUGACAGAAACCGUAAUUACAUUUACUACUAUCGAAGUAGAAUAUAUCAUUCCAUCUAUACAAACGCUGGUUUUGGAGUAAGAUAUCCAAAGUGUUUUUGCAAACACUUUGGGCGUCUAUCUACAGACUGAGUAGUUACCUCAAGGAGUUUACAAUAAAGAAAUUUAUCUUCGUUUAAAAAGAUAAUAAUUAACGGAUAUUAUUGAAUAUUAUCUUAGGAUCUAAGGCAUGGCACUGUACUUAUAUUUUUUGUUUUUUUUUUGUUUGUAUAUUUUUGUAUUAUUUUCAAGAGAGUAAUCUUUAAACUUUAGUUCGUCAUUUAGUGUAAUAGAGAAAUGUAAAAAUGCAAGUCAAUUAUUAAGUAUUUAAUUUUGUUUUUAGUGAUUUAUUCUAAGUUUAAUAAUGACCUAAAUUUGUGCCGUCACAUGGCGAUAAAAGCAAUAAGGGGAAAAUUAUAGUAGAGAGAGUUCAUGUCCCUGUUUAAUAUUGAUAGGAAAGCCAUUGAUUGCAUAAGAAACCGGAUGUAACGCAAAAUUAUUUGCAGUGAUUGUUAUAUUAAUUUAUAAUAUUUCGAAUAAACCGGUUAAAUUUUUUGUGUACCUUAUGCAGAGUGUUCAUUUAGUGUCUCGUUUUUAUUAUUAUUACAAGCGUUUAGCCUAGAAUAUCAAAGAACCACAUGCUAAAACGACACUCUGUACAUUUUUAUUAUAUAUUUUUAUAUUAUAUAGAUAUUUAUUUAUUUAACUUGUGUUAAUCGUUUUUUUUCUCACUAACAUAUAUACUGUGUUACGGAAAAUAGUGUUAUAUUUUAAUAGAAUUAGAUGAACCCAUAUUCAGAUAACCGAGUAGAAGCGAGUAAUCGAACGAGCAUUUUUUAGGUUUCAAAAUAUGUAAUUAACAAGACAAUAUAUAGUAUUUGUGAUAAGUGACUGAUAAUUAAGACUUUUUGUACUUUUUCGAAUUGUUAUUGACCACUAACACUCAACGUAGUCACUUUUGCAAAUACGACAUUUCGAGUUCGUUUUCUAAUCAUUUUUAUGGUGCAAGCAAGUUUUCCAUGUAGGAUAAAGGUACAAAACCCAAAUUUUGUUUCGAUGGGAAGCGGGAAAAUAAUUUAAUAGUUUUAAAAUAUUGUUACAUUUUUCGGUGCGUUCAUCAAUUUAACGCCAAAAAAAAAAUGAGGAAACAGUUUGGGUUUUUGUACUCGAUUAUUAAUUAAUUAGUCGUGAUGAGAUUAUAGUCGUUUAAAUUUUUAUAAAGUAUUCUCAAUCACUCACUUGAAUCGUUAACUUGUAAUGAUAGAUAGCUAUUUAUUUUAUUAAUAGAGUAAUUUAUAUUAACAAAUUUAUAAUUAUACAUUUUACCAAGUAUUAUACCAUUUUUCGGUUGUGUUAUCAAUUUUUUGUGUGCGUCAUUUUCGUUCGCAUUUCCGCUUUGACUUUAUUUUUUCCCAAACCUUUUGUUCAGUUCAAUCAAUUAUAUAAUCUGAUUCUACUAUAGUAAAGUUUUAAAUCUUA